AUGUGACAGCUCAAUGAAGUAGAAAGAGCUCUGAAUCAGCAGUCCGGAAAACCUGGUUUUAUGUUCUAAGUCUGCCUCUAACUAACCAUGUGACCCAAGGUGGGUCUUGGGUUGAACUAGAUGGUCAUCAAAGAUCCCUUUCAACUUGAAAACACCCACAAGUGUGUGUGUGUGUGUGUGUGUGUGUGUGUGUGUUUGUGUGUGUUUUAAAUCCUAACAGUACGGGUCCUAUUGACCAAUAUAUUGUAUUAUCUAUUCUCAGAGAGAAAGUCGCCUGCUGCUAAUUCCUAGGUGUCUAGGAGUUCUGCCUGCUGAAUUGCCGUCAAAAUGAGACAGAGCCCAGCAGUUGUCAGCUGUCCAGCAAGGGUCCAUGAGAGCAUCCAAAUAAGCAUCCCUCUUCUCUGCAAAGGAGCCAACAUUCUGAAGCCCCUCAAGGGGGGACGAAGCAGGCCCUGAGCCUGACCCUCCACCUGGAAGUUCAAGGUAAACAGACCAUUGUAAGGAGAGGGAGUGGUUGACAGGACCCAGAGAAAGGGACUCAGGCAAUCAAAAUUAAAAUCACACCAGUCAUAAUAAUAGUGGUGCAUUGACUGAAUACUUGGUAUGUGCCGGGCUCCAUAUUAGGAACUGUAAAUGGAUUGCCUCAUUUAAUUCUCCUUAUUUCACAAGUGAGAAUAUGGAGGCCAGGAGAUAUUAAGGGACUUGUCUAAGGAAUUAUAUGGCAGAGUUGGUGAUAUGGUUUGGCUCUAUGUCCCCACCCAAAUCUCACCUUGAAAUGUAAUAAUCCCCAUUUGUCAAGGGUGGGGCCAGAUGGAGAUAACUGAAUCAUGGGGAGCACUUUCCUCCAUACUGUUCUCUUGGGAGUGAAUAAGUCUCAUGAGAUCUGAUGGUUUUAUAAAUGGGAGUUCUUCUGCACAAGCUCUCUUGCCUACCACCAUGUAAGAUGUGACUUUGCCCCUCCUCUGCCUUCCACCAUGAAUUUGUGAGGUCUCCCCACUCAUGUGGAACUGUGAGUCCAUUAAACCUUUUCCUUUAUAAAUUACCCAGUCUUGGCCAGGCGCAGUGGCUCACACCCAUAAUCCUGGUACUUUGGGAGGCCAAGGUGGGCAGAUCACAAGGUCAAGAGAUUGAGACCAUCCUGACCAAUAAGUUGAAACCCCAUGUCUACUAAAAAUACAAAAAUUAGUUGGGUGUGGUGUCGUGUGCCUGUGACCCCAGCUACUUGGGGGGCUGAGGCAGGAGAAUCACUUGAACCUGGGAGGUGUAGGUUGCAGUGAGCCAAGAUCACACCACUGUACUCCAGCCUGGUGACAGAGCGAGACUCUGUCUCAAAACAAAAAUGAAAACGAAAAAUUACCAGUCUUGGGUAUGUCUUUAUUAGCAGCAUAAGAACAAACUAAUACAGUCGGGUUUACAGCCUACAAGAUCUCAACCUUUUUCUCAUAGAGAGUUUCUGCUUCCUCUGGUGUCUUCCAAGGACUGUAAGAAUCUGCCUUGUUAGUCUCUCAGGGAUCAAGCCUUAGAGCUUGGCUCCUUGCCUUAGGAGAGUAAGUCUAUCCCACUCAUGCAAAGUAAUCAGUAAAGUGUAUUCUUGGGCAAGUUGUUAAAAGAGAAACAAGCACUUGUCAUACUUUUGGCUGCUCAGCAUCUGAACUCCCUUCUUAAGUUCCACUUUUGUGUGAGCCUUCAUAGAAAGCAG
Callithrix jacchus (white-tufted-ear marmoset) is the source of this 1699-nucleotide long non-coding RNA. NCBI's taxonomy places the organism in Eukaryota, Metazoa, Chordata, Mammalia, Primates, Cebidae. The record is from Ensembl.